AGAGCUUUCUAGACCUGGAAUGUUAACUCCUUAACUGGUUAACAAGGCAACAAGUGCUAAUGCCCAAGAUGGUGACAUUUUAAGGGGCCUACUAAAUGGAGCCAGUUUGCCAUAGAUCUGUCAACAUUACAAAUAUCAAAAGUUUGGGAACCAUUCUUUUGCCAGAAGGCUUAGGAAUUAAAGUUGCCAUUUAGUUUUUGGCCAGGGAAAUGGAAUAAAAUUUUUGAAUUGGAAUUUAGUAAUUUCAUAUUUUAUCACUAUUCUGAAUCAAAAAUAAUCUAUUGCUAGUAAAUGUCCAUAAAAAUAUUAAGUACCUAGGUUCUUUUAUGUGGUUUACUUAUUUAAAAGUAUGCAGCCAGAAAUAACAAAUACUUAUUUAUGUUUUAUUUAUAUCCCAGGUGUGUAGCUUUUUGCCUGCAUUAUCUUAUGUACCAGCUACUGACCCUCUGGCCACUUAGAAUCCUUGAAAAGUCAUUUUGUCCCCAAAUCUACUUAACUGAGACAUGUUAUCUGAUGUGUAUUUUGUAGUUAAUUAUUCUCAAAUAAUAUUAGUGAUCAUAACAUAGAAUAAAUAAAUGUGAUUAUGUGAGGUAAUGAAAAGCCUUGAAAGAAAAUCGUUUUUUAAACAUGUUAGCUUUACUCUUGGUAAGCAUUUUAGAUUUAAUUCAUGUGGCACAAAGCCAUAGUAUCGUAGCUAUUUCUGUACACUGAAAUGAAUGAAAUCCUUCAUUUCUGUAUUUCAAAGGAUGAGUCAAACUGGAUCUAAUAAAGGAUGUGACACCAUAAUCUUUCAGACUUCAACUCAAAUUCUAAGCAGUCUUAUCCAGAUUAACCUCAUGUUAAUGGAAAGUAGCAUAUAUGUAAGACUUCCCUGUAUCAAAG
This 882-nucleotide long non-coding RNA is filed under the name Marmota monax (woodchuck). The record is from RNAcentral. Lineage: Eukaryota; Metazoa; Chordata; Mammalia; Rodentia; Sciuridae.